GACGAACGCUGGCGGCGUGCUUAACACAUGCAAGUCGAACGGAAAGGCCCUGCUCUUGUGGGGUGCUCGAGUGGCGAACGGGUGAGUAACACGUGAGUAACCUGCCCCUGACUUUGGGAUAACUUCAGGAAACUGGGGCUAAUACCGGAUAGGAGCUCCUGCUGCACGGUGGGGGUUGGAAAGUUUCGGCGGUUGGGGAUGGACUCGCGGCUUAUCCGCUUGUUGGUGGGGUAGUGGCUUACCAAGGCUUUGACGGGUAGCCGGCCUGAGAGGGUGACCGGCGACAAUGGGACUGAGGUACGGCGCAGACGCCUACGGGAGGCAGCAGUGGGGAAUAUUGCGCAAUGGGGGGGAGCCUGAUACAGCGACGCCGCGUGCGUGAUGACGGCCUUCGGGUUGUAAACCGCUUUCGCCGGUGACGAAGCGUGAUUGACGGUAAUUGGUAAAAAAGCACCGGCUAACUACGUG
Molecule: ribosomal RNA, 468 nt
Filed under: uncultured bacterium
Lineage: Bacteria
Description: partial 16S ribosomal RNA
Rfam family: Bacterial small subunit ribosomal RNA
Source: RNAcentral